Molecule: long non-coding RNA, 559 nt
Filed under: Coturnix japonica (Japanese quail)
Lineage: Eukaryota; Metazoa; Chordata; Aves; Galliformes; Phasianidae
Description: lncRNA (ENSCJPG00005001269.1)
Source: RNAcentral
UCAUGCACUGUGGGAAAUGGCAUUAUUUGAAAAUUAAAGAGCUGGAGCUCUUUAAACCUUCCCAAGACAUCAGGCCUAUGGAUAGGAGACAAGGAAAUAUUCCAGUGCCAACAAGAAUGUGCACACAACACAAGAAGAAGACGAAAAAAGAAGCUUGUUAACUAUACAAAACUACAAAGAAAAAAACUCUCAUUAUUUCAACAGAUUGAAGCCCUUAUGUCAACCGAGGGUGCAAAAACUUUUUCAGCAUUUUGUAACUUUUUUAAAAAAGAUUAGCCUAUUUUCCUUUCCAUAAGCCUAAGAAUAUAUAUAUUUUUAAUGCUGUGCUGAUUUGUAUUUUUUUCUUAAGUCUUGUGAAUUAUCUGGGGUUUUGAUGAAAGAUUCCUAGAAAUCUCAGACAUGUUUGUUAUGAGAUUUUAGGUUUUUUGUAGAAAGUGGUAGCUUAAAUAUUCAACGACUUCUAUUCACCCGAAUGUUCUUUGUACUCUGGAAGUAAACAGAGAGCAACAACAACAGACUAAGAAAUAAACUGCUAAAAAUAUAAUUAAAAGCCUUUUAG